Molecule: ribosomal RNA, 468 nt
Filed under: uncultured bacterium
Lineage: Bacteria
Description: partial 16S ribosomal RNA
Rfam family: Bacterial small subunit ribosomal RNA
Source: RNAcentral
GACGAACGCUGGCGGCGUGCUUAACACAUGCAAGUCGAACGGCAAGGCACUGCUUUUGUGGGGUGAUCGAGUGGCGAACGGGUGAGUAACACGUGAGUAACCUGCCCUUGACUUUGGGAUAACUUCAGGAAACUGGGGCUAAUACCGGAUAGGAGCUCCUGCUGCAUGGUGGGGGUUGGAAAGUUUCGGCGGUUGGGGAUGGACUCGCGGCUUAUCAGCUUGUUGGUUGGGUAGUGGCUUACCAAGGCAUUGACGGGUAGCCGGCCUGUGAGGGUGACCGGCCACAUUGGUACUGAGAUACGGCCCAGACUCCUACGUGAGGCAGCAGUGGGGAAUAUUGCACAAUGGGCGGAAGCCUGAGACAGAGACGUCGCGUGCGGAAUGACGGCCUUCGGGUUAUAAACCGCUUUCGCCUGUGACGAAGCGUUAGUGACGGUAAUGGGUAAAGAAGCACCGGCUAACUACGUG